GGCUUCGUGGUUUAGUGGUAUAAUUCUCGCUUAGGGUAACACCCCAAGCACCGCAUGCGAGAGGUCCCGGGUUCGAUCCCCGGCGAAGCCC
Molecule: transfer RNA, 91 nt
Filed under: Claviceps africana
Lineage: Eukaryota; Fungi; Ascomycota; Sordariomycetes; Hypocreales; Clavicipitaceae
Also listed under: 3 other names
Description: tRNA-Pro
Rfam family: tRNA
About the family: Transfer RNA (tRNA) molecules are approximately 80 nucleotides in length. Their secondary structure includes four short double-helical elements and three loops (D, anti-codon, and T loops).
Source: RNAcentral